Molecule: non-coding RNA, 234 nt
Organism: Pelobates cultripes (western spadefoot toad)
Lineage: Eukaryota; Metazoa; Chordata; Amphibia; Anura; Pelobatidae
Source: the annotation of a GenBank genome assembly
CUCGUGGUUUUGGUGCAUAAUAGUAAAUACAGCGCCUCAAUCAACACAAAAUAAAAUCGAAGAAAUAACAGAUCACAUUAAAGGGGAGAAAUGGACAGAAGACCUUCUUACACUCUAACCCUACCAUAGUUGACAGCUGUCCCAAAUUUGCUGAGUUGACAGCUGUCCCAUGUUUUAGGCUCCUGUUCCAGACAGCCCCAUGUAUAAGACAACCCUUAUUUUUAAACCCCAAAU